UCCCAGCUCUUAGUGAUUUCUGCCAGGGACACGCCCUGUUCCAAGAAGCCGGUGCCCAGACGUGCAGGGACAGAGAUUCUCACUGCUCUUGCCAUCUUCACUCUCUGCCUUUCUAUUCCCAAGGACUCACACUUCUUUCCAAUCUGUAAAACGCAAAGCUAAGCUGAGAAGUCCAAGAAAAAUGUGCUGGCAGAUUCAGUUCCUGGACCUCUUCAAAAUUAGAAGGAGAUUUUCAGGAGCUUCCUUCCAUGGAACAUGCAAAUGGAAAAUAUACACAUGACGCAAGUGAAAGUUUCAGCAGGACAGACUCCUGACAUGCUACAUAGAGAGAUGGUGGGAGGACGUUGCUGACUCCUGCCCAGUCACACCAGUGCUCAGGUUUACUCUGUUGUCAUUUUCCAUUUUGAUGGAAAGUAAUGAUAUUUGUGCAUCGAUGCUGGAAAAAUAGAACAAUGACCAGAAGUGGUUUUGAACACUUGGCCAGCUGCAGUGCCAUUCUGGCAGUGACAGAAAUGAUAUUCCUCUGGGAGACAACCUGUGCUCAUAAAUGAAGACCGUCCGUGGCCCUAAUCAGAACUUUACAAGUUAAGUCUUUUCAUGACUCAGUUUCGGAGCCAGCCGUUGGGGUGGGAGGUGCUCUGCAACUUACGACUUAUCCUAAGGCAUGCUCACCGUUCCUGCUGCCGUCCCAGCCAUGGCCUCCUCAGGGCCCUGCCCACAACUCCUGUCGUGGCCAAGGAAGAGAAAUGAUGCCUGAGGGGUGAAAAGGAAGAAGCCAGGAAACACUUCCCUCAUGCUUUAUAUCAAAUAGGCCUUAUUUGCUCAUCAAAUAAACAGAAAUAAACCAAAAAUGCCAAAGAGAA
Talpa occidentalis (Iberian mole) is the source of this 863-nucleotide long non-coding RNA. RefSeq lists it as uncharacterized. The transcript has 5 exons. The record is from RefSeq and is a predicted model, not a curated record. Lineage: Eukaryota; Metazoa; Chordata; Mammalia; Eulipotyphla; Talpidae.